GUUGAAUGAUGCUUGUUAAAAGUGCAGAGCAGAAGCCACCAACCAAGCCUCGCCAGUAUCUCCCACCGAGUCACGAAUCUCCCAUCUAACUCCCUUUCACACAACCCAGGCCUCUCCAAGCCUGACUUUCCCGGAAACUCCAGUCCAGGUCUUCCUUCCUCCUCCAGCCCAGGCCGGGACCUGGGGGCUCCUGCCGGAUCCAUGGGGGCGGCCAGCUGCGAGGAUGAGGAGCUGGAAUUUAAGCUGGUGUUCGGGGAGGAAAAGGAGGCCCCCCGCUGGGCGCGGGGGGAUUGGGGGAAGAACUGGACUCAGAGGAUGCCCCGCCAUGCUGCCGUCUGGCCUUGGGAGAGCCCCCACCCUAUGGCGCUGCACCUAUCGGUAUUCCCCGACCUCCACCCCCUCGGCCUGGCAUGCAUUCGCCACCGCCGCGCCCAGCCCCCUCACCUGGCACCUGGGAGAGCCAGCCCGCCAGGUCGGUGAGGCUGGGAGGACCAGGAGGGGGUGCUGGGGGUGCUGGGGGUGGCCGUGUUCUCGAGUGUCCCAGCAUCCGCAUCACGUCCAUCUCUCCCACGCCCGAGCCGCCGGCAGCGCUGGAGGACAACCCUGAUGCCUGGGGGGACGGCUCUCCAAGAGAUUACCCCCCACCAGAAGGCUUUGGGGGCUACCGAGAAGCAGGGGGCCAGGGUGGGGGGGCCUUCUUCAGCCCAAGCCCUGGCAGCAGCAGCCUGUCCUCGUGGAGCUUCUUCUCCGAUGCCUCUGACGAGGCAGCCCUGUAUGCAGCCUGCGACGAGGUGGAGUCUGAGCUAAAUGAGGCGGCCUCCCGCUUUGGCCUGGGCUCCCCGCUGCCCUCGCCCCGGGCCUCCCCUCGGCCAUGGACCCCCGAAGAUCCCUGGAGCCUGUAUGGUCCAAGCCCCGGAGGCCGAGGGCCAGAGGAUAGCUGGCUACUCCUCAGUGCUCCUGGGCCCACCCCAGCCUCCCCGCGGCCUGCCUCUCCAUGUGGCAAGCGGCGCUAUUCCAGCUCGGGAACCCCAUCUUCAGCCUCCCCAGCUCUGUCCCGCCGUGGCAGCCUGGGGGAAGAGGGGUCUGAGCCACCUCCACCACCCCCGUUGCCUCUGGCCCGGGACCCUGGCACCCCUGGUCCCUUUGACUAUGUGGGAGCCCCACCAGCUGAGAGCAUCCCUCAGAAGACAAGGCGGACUUCCAGCGAGCAGGCAGUGGCUCUGUCUCGGUCUGAGGAGCCUGCCUCAUGCAAUGGGAAGCUGCCCUUGGGAGCAGAGGAGUCUGUGGCUCCUCCAGGAGGUUCCCGGAAGGAGGUGGCUGGCAUGGACUACCUGGCAGUGCCCUCCCCACUCGCUUGGUCCAAGGCCCGGAUUGGGGGACACAGCCCUAUCUUCAGUGUCUUGCUCUGUCACCAAGACUGGAGUGCAGUGGUGUGAUCUCACUCAGCCUCAACCUCCUGGGCUCAAGCGAUCCUCCUGCCUCAGCAGGAGUAGCU
Molecule: small RNA, 1495 nt
Filed under: Pongo abelii (Sumatran orangutan)
Lineage: Eukaryota; Metazoa; Chordata; Mammalia; Primates; Hominidae
Description: processed transcript
Source: RNAcentral